This is a long non-coding RNA of Amphiprion ocellaris (clown anemonefish), 2649 nucleotides long. The record is from Ensembl. NCBI's taxonomy places the organism in Eukaryota, Metazoa, Chordata, Actinopteri, Pomacentridae.
CUGUCGGCUCAGAAGCGAAGUGCAGGCGCGCUGCUCUUCCGGUCCCUUCUGAGCUCAGCCACAGAAGCGAGAGCAGCUGCAUGCUAAGCGGAAGAGAAAACUAGGAGAAAACUUCGGAGUUUACCUGUGAAAAGGAAAAAAACAGUUGGAGCACUUACCCACUGGAGGUCCGGAGCCAAGUGACUGAACGAAGGAGAGAGUUACGUCGGCUAACCACUUGCCUUUCACCCAGAGAGCUGCGGCAAGGCGUGUUCCGCCUUGAUAUACAGAGAGCAACGGUCAGGUUUUUUUGGAGGACUGAAGAGUCUGAGGUUCAGGACAAACUUCCUGCUGUAACAGAUGGCGAGCCAACCACCCUGAAGAAAGAUCAGCACCGAGAAGAUAUCCACGUACCCACUCAUUCACACACACAUUAUACAUUUACAUUACACUACAAAGACCUUUGGAAUCAGGUGAACUUGCAAUAAUCCUACAACAGGAAAACCUGCAACAACUCCUAUUUUACUUAAGGGCCCCAACGGACAUUUUUUUGUUUCAAGUGUGCACACUGGGUUUUUCUUAUUGUCUUACUGUUUGGGUUAUUAUUUUGCAUUCUGUACAAAUCAGACAAAUUGUUUUAUCCACUGUUAAAAAUUAUACGAGUGGCUACUCAACUAUUACCAAUGCGAUUGCCUCAUUAUUGUUGCACAGUACAGUGACUCCUCCCGAAUUUAGUGUCUUCUGAUGCUGGUCCAGGUAUUAUAAAUAGUCCAAGUAAUUAUUACACUGUAAUUCACUUUUAUAUCCCUAAAGUUGGUUACAAUACCUUCCAACUUCUUCAUCCUGAAGUCUCUUGAUGAGGGCGUCUGCGACAGGGGUUUCAGAAUCCACCUCCAACAGUGAGUCUUGUGUUUAGCAACAUGAAAUUUAUACGCCUUUACACAUUGCGUUUCGAGACCUGCUUUUAUUCUGAAGGAGAUGUGCACCAAUACACAGAAGUGAAGUAUUCUGUGAGUGCCGGGAAAUUGUUGGUUAUUGUUUGACGGUAAGUUCCGAAUACCUGUUCCGAAUACCUGUUCCAUGAAGAAGCCUGGAAUUAAUUCCUUAACAAUCUGUAUUUGGACAAAUUGUGAAAUUAUCAGGAAAAAAAAUAAUGGAAUCAUGUAAGGGCUUUUGUGGUGUCGAGAUCUCAAACAGCACAAUCUGAGGUUGGAAAGAGGCAAUACACACGGACAACUCUGGAGGCAGAUAUAUAUAUAUAUAUUUAUUUCAUACAAUAACAUUAAAUAAAAGUAAAAGUUAAAUACACAAACACACAAAGGUAAAUUAGCUCUGACUCCCUGACAUGCAUAAAUACAAAUGUUUAUAACGUUAAACAUACACAAAUAGAAAUGUUUAUAACGUUAAACAUGCAUAAAUAAAAAUGUUUAUAAUGUUAAACAUGCAUAAAUAUAAAUGUUUAUAACGUUAAACAAAUAAAACGUUAUAAAACAAACAGCCCUCUCCGUGCAGCCUCCGGCUCUGCAGGCACAUACUAUUGGCUUCCAUUACUGUAGCAGUGUUGCCAACUACUUUCUCGCUAAAUCUGGAGACUUUCCAAAGCCUCCUGGGGACUUUUUUUUUCUUUGCCAAAAGCCACUAGCAACAAAUCUAGCGAAUUUUUCUGGUUUUGGAGAGUCUGACAUAAGUGGCGGAUCUUCCGUGGGGGCACGUAGGGGUAGUGGCCCCCUCCUGUGUGCCCCCCCAAAAUUUUCGUUGGAAAUUUACAUUACUGAAGCUCCGAUUUCCGACGCUCUUGAACGCAACUUCGUUGUCCAACUGCAACUGAAUGCACCAAUGAUGUUAGUUUGAUCUUUUGAUUGUAUUUUGUUUGGAUCUGAAGAAGCUUCCUGAUGCUGGAGGAGAAGACGAGUAGCUUUGUACCUUUGCGAGUGAAAGUAGCAGUUCCUCCUGAAGGUCAGCGAUUGCAGCAUCUGAGGGCCUCUUCAAAAGAAGACGUAGUUGAUGAAGGCGUUCUGGAGCAGGACCAGAAAGACCACGACCAAGCAGCCUUGAGAUCUUAGACAGCGUCUCCCUCAGGUCCCUCUCUAUCUCCCCACACAUCCACCAACCACUGGAACACAUCUCCAAAGUUCUGCCAGACCACCUGCCAGAUGAAGGAGCCUUUUGAGAGGCAGCUGGCAUCGUGAUUGGACUGUACUUUGGUCUGUUCCAAUCCAGCUUCAGCUCCAGAGACGGCAGGCGGGACGAGUCAACGGAGGCCGGGUGGACGAAGGCAUGCAGCUGAGUACAAUCCAGAAAACAACAGAGGAGGAGUGCAGCGUCCCAGGGCCAGAACAAACAGAGUAGCAUCGUAUGUCUCUUAGAAAACAUCAUAGUAUAGCCUUUGGAUGAAAAAACGCCAUCAUAUACAUCGUAUAUUGUACAAAUAACAAGUCAAAGGAAAGAGACAUACAUUGUAGAAUUGUAGUAAUUGUGGACUGACUGAUUUACUGAUUAUCAGUAUUUUAUUUUUUACUGAUUUACAGAAAUAAAUACAUUUAAAAAUGGCCCUAUUUUGGCUCUGAACCUUUAUUUGUGGUCGCUCUGUCUUCUGGAGUGAUUUGAUUGGUUAUACAUCACAAAUAAAGCUCCUUUAACUUAACAUCUGUAAACAAAACAAAAACAUAU